Molecule: ribosomal RNA, 494 nt
Filed under: uncultured bacterium
Lineage: Bacteria
Description: partial 16S ribosomal RNA
Rfam family: Bacterial small subunit ribosomal RNA
Source: RNAcentral
GACGAACGCUGGCGGCGCGCUUAACACAUGCGAGUCGAACGGAAAGGCCUGCUUUUCCUUGUGGAGUGCGGGUACUCGAGUGGCGAACGGGUGAGUAACACGUGAGUGAUCUGCCCCCAACUUGGGUAUAAGCCUGGGAAACUGGGUCUAAUUCCCGAUAGGACCGCAGGGUGGUGUCUGUGGUGGCAAACGAUUUUCUAGUGGUUGGGGAUGGGCUCGCGGCCUAUCAGCUUGUUGGUGGGGUAAUGGCCUACCAAGGCGGGGACGGGUAGCCAGCCUGGGAGGGUCGACAGCGGAAUUGAGACAGGGAUCCGGCCCAUACUGCUGCGGGAGGCAGCGGUGGGGAAUCUUGCACAGUGGGCGGAGGCCUGCUGCAGCGACUCCGCGUGGGGGAUGACGGCCUUCGGGUUGUAAACUCCUUUCGACCGCGAGGAAGCCACCUGGUUGGAAGGGUGGUGACGGUAGUGGUAGAAGAAGCACCGGCUAACUACGUG